RNAcentral lists this ribosomal RNA (371 nucleotides) under Salmonella enterica subsp. houtenae. RNAcentral describes it as "partial 23S ribosomal RNA". It matches the Rfam family "Bacterial large subunit ribosomal RNA", at positions 1138 to 1512 of the family's 2925-position model. Lineage: Bacteria; Pseudomonadati; Pseudomonadota; Gammaproteobacteria; Enterobacterales; Enterobacteriaceae. The record is from RNAcentral.
UAGCUCACUGGUCGAGUCGGCCUGCGCGGAAGAUGUAACGGGGCUAAACCAUGCACCGAAGCUGCGGCAGCGACACUGAUGUGUUGUUGGGUAGGGGAGCGUUCUGUAAGCCGUUGAAGGUGGCCUGUGAGGGUUGCUGGAGGUAUCAGAAGUGCGAAUGCUGACAUAAGUAACGAUAAAGCGGGUGAAAAGCCCGCUCGCCGGAAGACCAAGGGUUCCUGUCCAACGUUAAUCGGGGCAGGGUGAGUCGACCCCUAAGGCGAGGCCGAAAGGCGUAGUCGAUGGGAAACGGGUUAAUAUUCCCGUACUUGGUGUUACUGCGAAGGGGGGACGGAGAAGGCUAUGUUGGCCGGGCGACGGUUGUCCCGGUU